CCAACUGACUUCAAUUAUAUGUAGAACCAUCCAAAAGUCUCCUCUCAGGCAUUAAGGAACAUGAACGCUUUUAAGGGAUUUCCAAACUGGAAAUAACCAACACAACUAGGUCAAGCAUCCAUCAUGCACCAUGUACACCACAGUGCACCACAGCUGAGACCAGUGUGGAUCCCACCAUCAGCAGCUUUUCCAAAGGACCCAGGCAAAAUGUUUCUUUUUGAGGCAGAGAAUUCUUCUAAAUGAUUGUUGGAACUUAGAAUUACUCAAGAUUAUUAUAACCGAGUGGCCAGAGGGAUAUGCUGCCAUUAUGUCCUUCAGCAUAAAGAACUGGUGACUUCUGUAAGUGUGGUGUUUCUGAGGGCAUCCUCUUCCACAUUUUUAGCGUAAUCUACCUCGACACACAGAUGCAAUGCUCACAGAGGCCAGAACGCUUCCCAGAAGCAGCCAAGAGUGAGCACUUUCUCAUGGUGUAAAAUAUUCUACCAAAACCUUAUUUCCAAUAGGAGGGUCCAGAUAAUCAAAGCUUCGGAUCUCCUAAAACCUGGCUUUGCCUCUUACUUGAGAACUUUGCAAAGAAGAAUGCUAGCCAGUGAAUGUUCAGAGAGGAAGGAAGAAGAAGCUGUCCAAUGACCUUUUUUCUUAUGGCUUUCUAACUUGAUUCUUGACACUGUCACCAAGGUCAGCCUGCAGGAGAAUAGGUUUCUUUCUCUUUAUUUAAGUUUCUACAUCUCCCCUACAGAAGUGCAUCAAAAUUGUUUCAAUCAGUUAUCUUUAU
Molecule: long non-coding RNA, 775 nt
Filed under: Homo sapiens (human)
Lineage: Eukaryota; Metazoa; Chordata; Mammalia; Primates; Hominidae
Description: HSALNT0339246
Source: RNAcentral